This 252-nucleotide ribosomal RNA is filed under the name uncultured bacterium. RNAcentral's name for it is "partial 16S ribosomal RNA". It matches the Rfam family "Bacterial small subunit ribosomal RNA", at positions 524 to 775 of the family's 1533-position model. The record is from RNAcentral.
UACAGAGGGUGCAAGCGUUAAUCGGAAUUACUGGGCGUAAAGCGUGCGUAGACGGUUCCGUAAGUCGGGUGUGAAAGCCCCGGGCUCAACCUGGGAAUUGCAUUCGAGACUGCGAAGCUAGGGUGCGGAAGAGGGAAGCGGAAUUUCUGGUGUAGCGGUGAAAUGCGUAGAUAUCAGAAGGAACAUCAGUGGCGAAAGCGGCUUCCUGGUCCAGCGCCGACGUUCAAGCACGAAAGCGUGGGGAGCAAACAG